Molecule: long non-coding RNA, 3500 nt
Organism: Monodelphis domestica (gray short-tailed opossum)
Lineage: Eukaryota; Metazoa; Chordata; Mammalia; Didelphimorphia; Didelphidae
Source: RefSeq, a predicted model, not a curated record
AUAUAUAUUCAUAUACAUAUGAAUAUAUGAAGAAGAUUCUACAUACUCUCAACCCUGACAAAGAACAUCAUUGUCAGAGUCAGUUAUCGGUGUGAGGGAUGAGGUUUCAGCUUCAGGCCAGGCCCAGCUGGGUUGAACUCAGACAUCCAGAGUUCAUCCUUUUACAUCUUGAAACCUGUCACAUCUUGAUAAACCAACAAAGGAGGAUUUAUAGUGCGAGGUAGACGAGAGAGGGCUUGGGAUAUGAGCCAGAAUCAGGGAGCUCUUAAGGAGCAGCAAGAACAAGAAGAGUUCAUUUUGCGAUGAUUUUAGAGAGAAGUGGGAAGUGAGAAUCGUAGUGAUUGGGGCAUCUUCAAUCCUAAAUCCUCCCUCCCUCCCAUUUAUUUUACUAAUAAACCUAUUAGUUUUUACAGUGACUGUUUGGAAGCCUGGUUAGUGCAUUGGCCCAGUGUGGUGAGUCCUAACUGCCUUAUUGUUCUAAAACCGAACUGAAGCAUCAUCCACACACCUCAGUAUUCCCUUAUAUUUCAGUACUGUAAUACGGAAAUUAUAGAGAGAAGCAUAAGAUGGAAAGUUUAAGAAACUGGCAUUGACACAUGGGAAAGAAUUUUGGAGAUAGUAUUCUAGAAGCCAGGGGCUAGAGAAGGAAGGGUCAACUGCUAGCCAACUAUCACUUGGUCCUUGGUCUUGGUCUUGGACUACCACUUUGUUCCUGGUCCUGCCCAAGCAGAGGGAAGAGCUGCUUUGAGGAGCUUUUCCUAUCUCAAGUCCUUGGAGAACAAAGGACAACCCUUCAAUCCUUCUCUGUGGUUCCUGAUCAGCUGGAGAGCAGCGUGGAGCAAAUCUGGUUAUCUCUGCUCCCUAAACCAGAAUACUCAGAGACCACAGCUGGGUCAAUCCCCUAGGUAGAAACCAACAUCUAUCCACCUUUGUCCCCUCAUCACUAACCUGUGUUUUCAGUACCAAGACAGAAAGGCUGUACUGGUGUAGGAGAAUCAUUGGUGCACAAACUCUAGAAUAGACUCAAGUUUCUGGUCCUCUGUUAGAUCUCCUCACUUAAUUUAAGCAAGAAUGGCAUUUUCAUCAAGAAGUGUUAGAGAUGGAGUCAACACUAACGCCUUGUUAGGAAAUGAGGCAUCAAGCAGUUAACCAAAGGUUUACUUAACUCUUUAAUCAAAGACAAUCUCAUCUUCUCGGAUCUUCUAUAGAACAUGAUUUAUUAUUUACAUUUAGAACUUAAUGUCACAUCCAUCUUUGACAAUGGCUACAGUCCUUCAUAUGUGUGAAUGUGUGUGUGUAAAUGUUUUCUAAACUUAAUAUAGCAAUACUUCAAAGUAGUGAAGUAGUAUCAUAAGAAUAAAGUACAAAAGUACAUAUUUAAGUUCUAGACAAAGUAUAAUGAUAUUUGUUUGUAUUGCUCUUAUAUUCUCGGGAGUUUCCUAUAUUCUUUGUGUCCUAAAUUAGCACUUAUAUUGUCUUGCACUGUGACUUUGAGUUAUUCUCAUACAUACCUUAUAUAUGAGGUUGUAAACUUUUUAAAGGCAAGGAAUGUCUUACCCAUCCAUGCAUCUUUUAUAGUUCUUUGUACCUGAGAAGCAUAUGAUCUAAGAGCUAGAACAUGGAGGAACCAGAGCUCAUUUGGCAAAUUCUCUCAUUUUGUUGUUGUUCAGUCAUGGCUGACUCUUUAGGACCCAAUUUAGGAUUUUCCUGCAAAGAUUCUGGAAUCACUAGCCAUUUCCUUCUCCAACUUAUUUUACAGAAGAGGAACUGAGGCAAACAGGGUUAAGUGACUUACCCAGGGUCACAUCACUAGUAUGCGCUCUAAUACCAGAUUUUCACUGUAAUCUUCUUGGCUCUGGGCACAGUACUCUAACCACUGGAAUACCUCAUUUAUAGAUGAUUAAAUUGAAAUCCAUUAGUCCACUUGCCCAAAGUCACACAAGGAAUAAACUUCAAGAUUGGGGCUUAAACCCAGGGCUCUCUUCCUCUCUUUCCACUAUACAGUGCCACCUCCCUUCAGGAUCUUCUCCAGAGCAGGAAUUCAGUUCAUCUGUAAAGAAUUGGGAUACAUGGAAUUAAAAUGGCGGUCUUGAUAGAAAACUCUCCCUACUCCUUCCUCUUGUAACCAGAAUUCACAAAGGAGGUCUUCAGCAGAUGCCAGAGCAUUCCAUAGACAUUUGCUGAACCUGACAAAAGUUCUUAGUGAUUAUUGUACAUUAUUAGUGCUAGUCUCUCAAUACCAUGCCACAUUAGUGGCAAAAUACAAAAGGAUUUUGUAGAAUCUUUCCCAAACACCUGGUCCUAUAAUUUUACAUAUUAUAUUAUAGAAGAAAAACAGGCAAAGUAAAAAAUCUAACCAAUAUCUUGGUGAAUCACUGUAAAGUCCUCACUAUGCUAAGCCACUGGAAUUGAAAAUUAUCCAUUGGUUUUGAAAUUGCUCUUAAGUCUUUCUUUAGAGCAUUAUACAGAAAGGCCUUGGCAGCAGGGUAAGUACCCUAGGCUAAACUGAAUCUUCAUCAUCCACUAAUAUGGCUCUCUCUUUCUCUCUGACAAUGUAAACAUGCAAAAAGGGGGGAAAUGUUGCCACAUCUGUCUCCUCCAGGUGGCACUUGUGCUUUCUUCCCUACUGUUUUCUUCAUUAAUGUUAAUUUAAGCCUUUUAUGAAUUGGCAACAUUUUUACAAAAUUUGGGUAAAUUUCUCCCUUAGAGGAAUCAAUAGGAGUGCAUGUGGACCUGAUUAAAUUUUUAAAAAAUACUUAUACAGGAAGCCUGGUGGCCCCAAAGAUAUUGCACUGUUGCUCUCUUGUUUCCCAGCCUGAUUGUGUAGUAUACUGGCAUGAUUCACCACAUUGUAAACAAAUCUGUAUUCCAAAAAACUUCUUCCAGGAGGAAUUGGUGGAGGUAGCUUAUCUAAAACAAUUGGCUUUAUUCCUUUUAAAACAAACAAAACUCUGCUAGUUAGGCACCCCCCUCUUCACACACACAAAACCCUAAACAUUAUUUUUUCAACCUUGAUAAGCCUUUUUGAAUAAAGAAUAUGAGCAAGUGGAGGUCAAUGUCAAUAUUGAAUCCUAUAAUCAUGCAAUUUUUUUAUAGAAAAUAAAUGCUUUUAAAUAGUAAGAUCAGAGGGGAAAAGGAUAUUCUAUUUUGUCUCUAGCUCCCUAAAUAUGGAUAAUAAUGUUUACCCAUUUUACAACAAAGGAGGUAUUAAUUAAUUACCAUAAAGGGCUAAAAACUUUCUCUAAGGUAUUGUCUUAAUAGAUCCACCCAAUUAGGAAAUCUAAUUCAUAAUAUCAUAGAAUGCCUAGGUUUCACGUAGAGGUUAUUUACCCAAAAUAUUAACAAAAUCCUUUCAAAAAAGUAUUCACAAGUACAUUGUUAUUAAACAGUCUAUAGUGAAACAUUGUUCUUAUGAUAAGAUUGGAAAGAAGGCAAGGAUUGCAUUUUAUUUGCAUUUGUUUUAAGUUUCACUGAAAGAAAACUAUUCUCAUUUUUCCAAG